This 377-nucleotide RNase P RNA is filed under the name Chitinophagaceae bacterium. RNAcentral describes it as "RNase P RNA component class A". It matches the Rfam family "Bacterial RNase P class A". From Rfam's summary of the family: Ribonuclease P (RNase P) is a ubiquitous endoribonuclease, found in archaea, bacteria and eukarya as well as chloroplasts and mitochondria. Its best characterised activity is the generation of mature 5'-ends of tRNAs by cleaving the 5'-leader elements of precursor-tRNAs. Lineage: Bacteria; Pseudomonadati; Bacteroidota; Chitinophagia; Chitinophagales; Chitinophagaceae. RNAcentral also lists the same sequence under 1 other name. The record is from RNAcentral.
GCUACAAGUAAGGUUAUCGCCGCGACUAUAGAGGUCGGGGAGGAAAGUCCGGACAGCAAAGAGCGACAUACCACCUAACAGAUGGUGCCUGUUGCAAGACAGGUAAGAGAGUGCCACAGAAAAUAACCGUCCGUUGCGCCUUGGCGUGACGAGAUAAGGGUGAAAAAGUGAGGUAAGAGCUCACUGGUAGGGGUGGCAACAUCCCUAUCGGGUAAACCUUAUGUGCUGAAAUGUCAAAUAAGUGAGUGCUUGAGAACGGCUCGUUCGAUACUCAUGGGUAGACAGAUACAUGCAGGUGGUGACAUCUGCGGUAGAUAAAUGAUGACCUUCCCAACUUGUUGGGAAAACAGAAUCCGGCUUAUUUACUUGUAGUUUUU